Molecule: ribosomal RNA, 450 nt
Filed under: uncultured bacterium
Lineage: Bacteria
Description: bacterial SSU rRNA
Rfam family: Bacterial small subunit ribosomal RNA
Source: RNAcentral
AACGAACGCUGGCGGCAGGCCUAACACAUGCAAGUCGAACGCCGUAGCAAUACGGAGUGGCAGACGGGUGAGUAACACGUGGGAACGUACCCUUCGGUUCGGAAUAACUCAGGGAAACUUGAGCUAAUACCGGAUACGUCCGAGAGGAGAAAGAUUUAUCGCCGAGGGAUCGGCCCGCGUCUGAUUAGCUUGUUGGUGAGGUAACGGCUCACCAAGGCGACGAUCAGUAGCUGGUCNGAGAGGAUGAUCAGCCACAUUGGGACUGAGACACGGCCCAAACUCCUACGGGAGGCAGCAGUGGGGAAUAUUGGACAAUGGGCGCAAGCCUGAUCCAGCCAUGCCGCGUGAGUGAUGAAGGCCCUAGGGUUGUAAAGCUCUUUUACCCGGGAAGAUAAUGACUGUACCGGGAGAAUAAGCCCCGGCUAACUUCGUGCCAGCAGCCGCAGUAAU